GGGGUCGUAGUUCAGUUGGCUAGAACGCCGGCCUGUCACGCCGGAGGUCGCGGGUUCGAGUCCCGUCGGCCCCGCCA
RNAcentral lists this transfer RNA (77 nucleotides) under candidate division NC10 bacterium RIFCSPLOWO2_02_FULL_66_22. RNAcentral describes it as "tRNA-Asp". It matches the Rfam family "tRNA". Rfam says of the family: Transfer RNA (tRNA) molecules are approximately 80 nucleotides in length. Their secondary structure includes four short double-helical elements and three loops (D, anti-codon, and T loops). The record is from RNAcentral. Lineage: Bacteria; Methylomirabilota (SeqCode). RNAcentral also lists the same sequence under 6 other names.